Molecule: ribosomal RNA, 253 nt
Filed under: uncultured bacterium
Lineage: Bacteria
Description: partial 16S ribosomal RNA
Rfam family: Bacterial small subunit ribosomal RNA
Source: RNAcentral
UACGUAGGUGGCGAGCGUUAUUCGGAUUCACUGGGCGUAAAGGGUCCGCAGGGGGCCUGCCAAGUCUGUCGUGAAAUCCCGGGGCUCAACCCCGGGUCUGCGGUGGAAACAGGCGGGCUAGAGUGUGUGAGGGGUAGACGGAACACCUGGUGUAGCGGUGGAAUGCGUGGAUAUCAGGUGGAACACCGAUGGCGAAGGCGGUCUACUGGCACACAACUGACCCUCAGGGACGAAAGCGUGGGUAGCAAACAGG